Molecule: ribosomal RNA, 301 nt
Filed under: uncultured bacterium
Lineage: Bacteria
Description: bacterial SSU rRNA
Rfam family: Bacterial small subunit ribosomal RNA
Source: RNAcentral
GUGCCAGCCGCCGCGGUAAUACGUAGGGUGCGAGCGUUAAUCGGAAUUACUGGGCGUAAAGCGUGCGCAGGCGGUUUGGUAAGAUAGGCGUGAAAUCCCCGGGCUCAACCUGAGAACUGCGUCUAUUACUGCCAGGCUAGAGUAUGGCAGAGGGUAGCGGAAUUCCACGUGUAGCAGUGAAAUACGUAGAGAUGUGGAGGAACACCGAUGGCGAAGGCAGCCCCCUGGUCCAAUACUGACGCUCAUGCACGAAAGCGUGGGUAGCAAACAGGAUUAGAUACCCUGGUAGUCCACGCCCUAA